AAAACCUUCAACAACGGAUCUCUUGGCUCUGGCAUCGAUGAAGAACGCAGCGAAAUGCGAAAAGUAAUGUGAAUUGCAGAAUUCAGUGAACCAUCGAAUCUUUGAACGCACAUUGCGCCCGCUGGUACUCCGGCGGGCACGCCUGUCCGAGCGUCAUUU
RNAcentral lists this ribosomal RNA (159 nucleotides) under cf. Acremonium sp. SS-1583. RNAcentral's name for it is "5.8S ribosomal RNA". It matches the Rfam family "5.8S ribosomal RNA". Rfam says of the family: 5.8S ribosomal RNA (5.8S rRNA) is a component of the large subunit of the eukaryotic ribosome. It is transcribed by RNA polymerase I as part of the 45S precursor that also contains 18S and 28S rRNA. Functionally, it is thought that 5.8S rRNA may be involved in ribosome translocation. The record is from RNAcentral. Lineage: Eukaryota; Fungi; Ascomycota.